Molecule: ribosomal RNA, 551 nt
Filed under: uncultured bacterium
Lineage: Bacteria
Description: bacterial SSU rRNA
Rfam family: Bacterial small subunit ribosomal RNA
Source: RNAcentral
AAUAGAUACCCCGGUAGUCCACGCCGUAAACGAUGAGUGCUAAGUGUUGGGGGGUUUCCGCCCCUCAGUGCUGCAGCUAACGCAUUAAGCACUCCGCCUGGGGAGUACGGUCGCAAGACUGAAACUCAAAGGAAUUGACGGGGGCCCGCACAAGCGGUGGAGCAUGUGGUUUAAUUCGAAGCAACGCGAAGAACCUUACCAGGUCUUGACAUCCCGGUGACCACUAUGGAGACAUAGUUUCCCCUUCGGGGGCAACGGUGACAGGUGGUGCAUGGUUGUCGUCAGCUCGUGUCGUGAGAUGUUGGGUUAAGUCCCGCAACGAGCGCAACCCUUAUUCUUAGUUGCCAUCAUUUAGUUGGGCACUCUAAGGAGACUGCCGGUGAUAAACCGGAGGAAGGUGGGGAUGACGUCAAAUCAUCAUGCCCCUUAUGACCUGGGCUACACACGUGCUACAAUGGACGGUACAAACGGUUGCCAACCCGCGAGGGGAGCUAAUCCGAUAAAACCGUUCUCAGUUCGGAUUGUAGGCUGCAACUCGCCUACAUGAAGCC